Molecule: long non-coding RNA, 1424 nt
Organism: Leopardus geoffroyi (Geoffroy's cat)
Lineage: Eukaryota; Metazoa; Chordata; Mammalia; Carnivora; Felidae
Exons: 3
Source: RefSeq, a predicted model, not a curated record
GCUGACGGCAUUAAAGGGCGACGCCGGGGAGGAAGCGAGGUGGCGGUGGCGGUGGCAUGUGGGCCUGCGUGUGCUGUUCCGGCGGCGGUCUGGCACCCGCGCCCGCCUCCAGGCUCCGCUGCUGGACCAGACGGCGGGGGUGGCGCGCUGAGCCAGCGCAGAAAGAUACGCCCAGGGUUUCAGAGUCGAUGGAGUGUAUUCAGCUGUUAUAUUAUUUAUGACUCUCCGGAUGUCGACAAAAUGAUUGACAACACGUGAUGAUUACGUGUCCGUGAGCAGACUCUUGGAAAAGCCUGCAUUCGUGCAACAAUGAAUGAGCGAUGAGCUACCUGGGGGACCGGCCCGGACUCUCAUCCUAGAGGCUUUAGAACCUCGGUCAACACACCCUUCUCAGGUCACGGCUGCUGUGCUUGUCCACAUACCAUCAAAACUGGGCAGAGAGGCAGGCUCAGGUAGGUGCCAGAUGUGUUCUCCCCCAGCCCCCACCCCCGCCCCCGCCCCCGGGCAGCAGCAUCCCUACCUCCUCCGGUGGCCGCGAGGAGACCCCUUCCUUGACCUGCUAGUCUUCUGGCACAAGGAGCCGUGACCCAACAUUGAAUCAGACUCCACAUCCCUUUCUGGAAGCAUUUGCCCUCUAGAAGAGGUCAGGAUUGUGAGAACCGGACAAACUCCCCUGGAGACAGCAUUGGUGGGCAGACCCACUCCUGCCUCCACCCCCUGCUUCCCGCACCCAAGUCUAUACUUAGAGGAGACACAUGUCAGACGCCCCCACUCACAGGCUAUCAACUCUGAGCCAAAAGGCAGCUUCAUUGCUCCGCUGGGCCAGCAGCUUCUGGGCCGUGUGGUGUGUUAGGGGACCGGUGGGUCCCACGGCCACGGGCUCACCGCCCCCACCUCCUUCGCCGUAAGCGGGUCCCCAGCACCAGCACAAGCUUGCACAGAGCCUCCUGUCGACAGGUCAGACGCCACACAGAGAGGACAUGUCCGUGAAUGGCUGUCCCCUACUGCCUCCACUCACAUCCCCCGUGACGACCCUACAUGCAGGGGAGGCCAGGCAGUGUGGUCUGCCUGGGCGUCCGUUCCCACCUAUCUGAAGCUCUGUUACCGGAUGAUGGUGGGAUGGAUAUUGGAGGACAGUGGCAGCGACUCCCAUCUUACAGAGCGUGCGAUCAGCUCCCAGCACUGAAAGCGACGAGUAAAGGCGGGCGGUGUGGGGGGUGUCAGCCUCCGCCCCCGCAGUGUGGACGUGUGGCAUCCAUUGCUGCUGGAGGGAGGCUUCGGGGCCAAGUCAUGUCACUGCACACCCGUUUCACUGCUCAGGCUGUGCCCUCUGCCUCCUUUCUCUCUCACUCACCGGAGUGCCCCAAGGUCCAAGGCUUACCCUGGAUGAUGCCUUCGACCAAAAGUAAAGGGACGCUGGCCUA